GACGAACGCUGGCGGCGUGCCUAAUACAUGCAAGUCGAGCGAAGUUUUUCUGGUGCUUGCCCUAGAAAAACUUAGCGGCGAACGGGUGAGUAACACGUAAAGAACCUGCCUCAUAGACUGGGACAACUAUUGGAAACGAUAGCUAAUACCGGAUAACAGUAUUUCUCGCAUGAGAGAUAUUUAAAAGUUGGUUAUGCUAACACUAUGAGAUGGCUUUGCGGUGCAUUAGCUAGUUGGUGGGGUAAAGACCCACCAAGGCGACGAUGCAUAGCCGACCUGAGAGGGUGAUCGGCCACACUGGGACUGAGACACGGCCCAGACUCCUACGGGAGGCAGCAGUAGGGAAUCUUCCGCAAUGGGCGAAAGCCUGACGGAGCAACGCCGCGUGAGUGAAGAAGGAUUUCGGUUCGUAAAGCUCUGUUGUUAGGGAAGAAUGGAUAUGUAGUAACUAUACAUGUAAGAGACGGUACCUAACCAGAAAGCCACGGCUAACUACGUG
Molecule: ribosomal RNA, 499 nt
Filed under: uncultured bacterium
Lineage: Bacteria
Description: partial 16S ribosomal RNA
Rfam family: Bacterial small subunit ribosomal RNA
Source: RNAcentral